GUGAAUCAUCGAAUCUUUGAACGCAAAUUGCACUUUCUGGUAUUCCGGAAAGUAUGCCUGUUUGAGGGUCAGUUAAAUAACAAUCGGUGUUGUUGCUGUUUUUCGUGGUGACUCGUCGGAAUUGAGUUGUCUUACCUUCGGUUACGUGACUUAAAAUUUUGCAUGUUGUUCGAUCUUAUUUAUAUUUCUUACUUACGUUUGAGAUAUCGAAUACUUUAUUCGGUUCGGUCAUCCU
Molecule: unclassified non-coding RNA, 235 nt
Filed under: Glomeraceae sp.
Lineage: Eukaryota; Fungi; Glomeromycota; Glomeromycetes; Glomerales; Glomeraceae
Description: partial contains 5.8S ribosomal RNA and internal transcribed spacer 2
Rfam family: 5.8S ribosomal RNA (bases 1-71)
Source: RNAcentral